This 1172-nucleotide unclassified non-coding RNA is filed under the name Hevea brasiliensis (rubber tree). The record is from RNAcentral. Lineage: Eukaryota; Viridiplantae; Streptophyta; Magnoliopsida; Malpighiales; Euphorbiaceae.
UUAUCUAAAUAAUUAAAAAUAAAUAAAUCUUGUGGAUUCAACAUUCAAGUAAUGAAACCCUAGAGGUAGAUAAGUUGGAAGUAACAAACCAACAAUUGCAGUGUGGAGAUUUUAUGCCUAAAAGGCAAAAACCAAAGGCCUACAGCGUAUCAUAUCUGUUAAGACUUUUUAACUACUAAUCAGAACUUAUAAACAUGAAACAAAGGUAUGAAAAUCUUAAUUCCUAUAAAAUGGAUAUUACGAUAUGCAAUAGCUUACUUAUAAACAUGAAGGAGAAAUCAUCUUUUAGAUACAAUGGAAAUUGACAUCACUUGUGCCUCAAGCUGAUAAGCUCAAUAUCAAAUAUGAGAGUACUUAAUGUCGAGGCUUCUCCAUUAGCAAGACGCGUUGGAUUGAAAAUGGUUGUAAAAAGCCUCUGCAUUAGGAGGUAUAGGUUCUUGUGUUGUGUUUUGAUAUCCUUGUGAUGGUGGAAUAAUGACUCUACGAAUGCCACCAACUUUCAUUGAUUUUACAGCAACUUCAAUCCCUGAAAUAACUUUCCCUGACCCAAGAACGAAAACGAAAGGAAUUGGUUCAUUAGUAUCAUCUUUGUGAUCAUAUGUCGAAUCAAAUCGCCAUCCUUGCUUUGCCGCCAAUCUACCAUAGUAAUGUAUUGCAACCUGAUCGCCAUCAAGGGGUACUUCGCCAGAACCAAUGCGAAGAUCCAAGGCCUUCACUCCACCGGAAUCUGGGAUCUCCAAAAGCUCAUUUCUUGAAGAAGCAGCAGCUGAGAAUGGGAUAGGGAUUGUAGAUAUCGAAAAAGCUGCGCAUAUUGAAAUGAGUGUUGCAUUAGAUAAAAGUCGUCUUCUCGUUGCUUGAAGUGGUUCAGGAGAUGAUGGUGAUGCUAGCAAGGGGACCGCACGAUAGUGGGUUGCUUGAAUAGAGACUGUGGGUGCGAAGUAAUUCAGUGCCAUGGCCUUAUCUCUCUCUGUGAAUGAACGGAAGAAAAGCGGUUGAGUAGAUGAUGGUUAUCCUGGCAAGCAAGAGCAUCGCACGAUCAUGGGUUGCUUGAAUAGAGACUGUGGGUGCGAAGUAAUUCAGUGCCAUGGCCUUAUCUCUCUCUGUGAAUGAACGGAAGAAAAGCGGUUGAGUAGAUGAUGGUUAUCCUGGCAAGCAAGAGCAUCGCACGAUCA